GCUAAACGCGAAGAACCUUACCGGGCUUGACAUCUUUCUGACCGCCUGGGAAACCAGGUCUUCUUCCUUCGGGAAGACGGAAAGACAGGUGGUGCAUGGUUGUCGUCAGCUCGUGUCGUGAGAUGUUGGGUUAAGUCCCACAACGAGCGCAACCCUUGUCCUUAUUUGCCAGCCUGUUUACAGGCGUACUUUAAGGAGACUGCCGUAGAUAAUACGGAGGAAGGUGGGGAUGACGUCAAAUCCUCAUGCCCCUUACGUCCCGGGCUACACACGUGCUACAAUGGUCUGUACAGAGGGUAGCCAAGAAGCAAUUCGGAGCCAAUCCCAAAAAGCAGGCCCCAGUUCGGAUUGGAGGCUGCAACUCGCCUCCAUGAAGUUGGAAUCGCUAGUAAUGGCGCAUCAUCCACGGCGCCGUGAAUACGUUCCCGGGUCUUGUACACACCG
This 444-nucleotide ribosomal RNA is filed under the name uncultured bacterium. Its description in RNAcentral is "bacterial SSU rRNA". It matches the Rfam family "Bacterial small subunit ribosomal RNA", at positions 954 to 1392 of the family's 1533-position model. The record is from RNAcentral.